Long non-coding RNA from Coccinella septempunctata (seven-spotted ladybird), 733 nucleotides. RefSeq lists it as uncharacterized. The transcript has 6 exons. The record is from RefSeq and is a predicted model, not a curated record. NCBI's taxonomy places the organism in Eukaryota, Metazoa, Arthropoda, Insecta, Coleoptera, Coccinellidae.
GCAGAUGCUAGAAGGCGCUGAAUUAGGGAAUCCUCAUCAGAAGAUGAAAAAGGCAGAGGCCUAAGAAAAAUAAUUUUUUCGAAGCACCUGAUAGGUCAUUAUUCUAAAUGUGCGUCUCCACCAAUGGAGGAAGCUGAUCAAUCAUCAGCAGAUUCAGAUUAUAGACUACAGGAGAUCGGGAUGCCACAACCAGAGAACGUAACUCGGUUAUGGCCUGCUCAAACAUCUUCCAAUUUCUACAGCCCUCCCUGCAUGACAGGGACAGUUGCUAUCGAACACAAUGGCACACUCGAGUUUCUUUUUAACAGAAUGCAUUUGUGCAUUUUUACGCAGAAUAAAAAAUAACUUUAAAUGUUGAGAGGAACCCCUAGUUUAUAAAUUGAUUGUAUUUUAUAGAGAUCUUACGACACCCAUCAUGGCCAAAACAAACAGGUGUCAACCAACAUGAGCCACCUACCACUGAAAAUCGAUACAAAAUACCUGAUCGACCCUCGUCGAUUAUCAAUCAAGAGGUUCAGACUAGAGAGACUAGAGUUGAAAACAAUGGGAACCUAGAAAGAAAGAUUGAUAGGUUGACUGAGCUUGUUGGAAGGAUUCUCCUAGAAAUAGAAGAGAUAAAGUUACAGCGAGGAAAAAAUGAAGUGCUGAAUCACACCGGUUUGAGGAAUGAAUUUCCGUUUACAUCUCUGGAAAAACUUAAGGAAUUUGAGGCAAGACUAGAAGAUGAGGAGGA